GUGGGGAAUAUUGGACAAUGGGCGAAAGCCUGAUCCAGCCAUGCCGCGUGUGUGAAGAAGGUCUUCGGAUUGUAAAGCACUUUAAGUUGGGAGGAAGGGCAGUAAGUUAAUACCUUGCUGUUUUGACGUUACCGACAGAAUAAGCACCGGCUAACUUCGUGCCAGCAGCCGCGGUAAUACGAAGGGUGCAAGCGUUAAUCGGAAUUACUGGGCGUAAAGCGCGCGUAGGUGGUUUUGUAAGUUGGAGGUGAAAUCCCCGGGCUCAACCUGGGAACUGGCUCCAAAACUACUGAGCUAGAGUACGGUAGAGGGUAGUGGAAUUUCCUGUGUAGCGGUGAAAUGCGUAGAUAUAGGAAGGAACACCAGUGGCGAAGGCGACUACCUGGACUGAUACUGACACUGAGGUGCGAAAGCGUGGGGAGCAAACAGGAUUAGAUACCCGUGUAGUCC
This 450-nucleotide ribosomal RNA is filed under the name uncultured bacterium. RNAcentral describes it as "partial 16S ribosomal RNA". It matches the Rfam family "Bacterial small subunit ribosomal RNA", at positions 354 to 796 of the family's 1533-position model. The record is from RNAcentral.